Molecule: ribosomal RNA, 641 nt
Filed under: uncultured bacterium
Lineage: Bacteria
Description: bacterial SSU rRNA
Rfam family: Bacterial small subunit ribosomal RNA
Source: RNAcentral
AAUACCGCAUAUGCCAUGAACAUCACAUGAUGAAAAUGGGAAAAGAGUAAUCUGCUAGUAGAUGGGCUCGCGUCUGAUUAGAUAGUUGGUGGGGUAACGGCCUACCAAGUCGACGAUCAGUAGCCGGACUGAGAGGUUGAACGGCCACAUUAGGACUGAGAUACGGCCCAGACUCCUACGGGAGGCAGCAGUCGGGAAUGUUGCGCAAUGGAGGAAACUCUGACGCAGUGACGCCGCGUAUAGGAAGAAGGUUUUCGGAUUGUAAACUAUUGUCGUUAGGGAAGAUACAAGACAGUACCUAAGGAGGAAGCUCCGGCUAACUACGUGCCAGCAGCCGCGGUAAUACGUAGGGAGCAAGCGUUAUCCGGAUUUAUUGGGUGUAAAGGGUGCGUAGACGGGACAACAAGUUAGUUGUGAAAUCCCUCGGCUUAACUGAGGAACUGCAACUAAAACUAUUGUUCUUGAGUGUUGGAGAGGAAAGUGGAAUUCCUAGUGUAGCGGUGAAAUGCGUAGAUAUUAGGAGGAACACCGGUGGCGAAGGCGACUUUCUGGACAAUAACUGACGUUGAGGCACGAAAGUGUGGGGAGCAAACAGGAUUAGAUACCCUGGUAGUCCACACCGUAAACGAUGGAUACUAGGU